AGAAAUUCACCACUAUAUUAAUCAAGCUCAAAUCAGCAACACAUCAAUUGAAUCACAAGCAAAUAUGAAUUAUAAUACGCAAGUGACACACAAGAUUUAUACGUGGAAAACCCCUUCGGUAUGAAGGAUAAAAACCACGGGACUUGAAGGAGUCCACCCUUCUUCUUCUCUUAUUAUGUAAAUUGAGGGUAAAAACACCCAAAUCAGUCUACAAGGAUGUCACAGCCCACCAACAACAACAUACAUAAGAGCCAACACAAAAGAGAAGAGAAAUUGAGAAAUAUCACCAAAAAAAAUGCAGGUUACGCCAGCUGCGAUAACAGAUGAUCAAGAACUCCAAUUGACGAUCUGAACAGUCAAGAUGUAGUGCUAUGUGUUGUGAACCAGCUGUGAAAAUUUCAGAACGAUCCAACGGUCGGAUCUCUUGCAAUCUGAAAUUUUGUCUCGCUGUCCAGAAAAACCAGCAACCCUUUUCUCUCUCAAACCCUCUCUCUAUUUCUUUUUUCUCUUCCAAAACAAGAAACCCCAGCACCAACAUCAGCUGCCCAAGACUUCUAGAAGAAGUCAACAAAGCCCAAAAUAUAUGGGCCACCCAUCAAUGGGCUGGACCCUUAACAAUCUCCCCCUCCAGCCCAGUUCGGGGAGACCAAACAUAAAAGGUCAUCAAGAAGACAUACCUGCAAUCUUGGAACAAAAUUCAAGCUUGCUUCGAGGGACCACCUUUGUCAACAUAUCAACACCAUUCUUGUUGGUGUGAAUCUUCUUCAACUUCAUUAGUUGCUCUUCAAUGACAACACGCAACCAAUGAUAUCUCACAUCAAUAUGCUUUGUGCGAGCAUGGUACAUGCUGUUUUUGCUCAAGUCCAUAGCACUUUGACUAUCACAAAACACAACAUACUCGCUUUGCUUCAAACCUAACUCUUGAAGGAAACGCUUUAACCAAAGCAUUUCUUUGCUUGCUUCCACUGCUGCUAUAUAUUCUGCCUCGGUUGUAGACAACGCUACACACUUCUGUAGCUUGGAUUGCCAUGAAAUGGCUCCCCCUGCAAAUUUGAACAAGUAACCCGAGGUAGACUUCCGGUUAUCAAGAUCUCCAGCCAUGUCAGCAUCCGUAAAUCCCUCAAGAAUAGGCUCACCACCUCCAAAACACAAACUCAGAUUUGAUGUGCCUCGCAAAUAUCUUAAGAUCCACUUUACAGCUUCCCAAUGAACCUUGCUCGGAUUUGCCAAGUAUCUGCUAACCAAUCCAACAGCAUGUGCUAUAUCCGGUCUUGUACACACCAUGGCAUACAUCAAUGAACCAACAGCAAAAGAGUAAGGAAUAUGAGACAUACUUUCCUUUUCUUUCUCGGUUGUAGGACAACAACGCUUGCUCAACUUCAAAUGGGCUGCAAGUGGUGUAUUAACUGGCUUGGCAUUCUUCAUAUUAAACCUUUCAAGCACCCGUUCAAUAUACUUUUCUUGUGACAACCAAAGCUUACCAGCUUUUCUAUCACGAGCAAUUUCCAUACCAAGAAUUUGCUUCGCAGGACCCAAAUCUUUCAUAUCAAAGGACUUUGACAAAUCCUCUUUUAACCUGCAAAUCAUCUCAACAUCUUGUCCCACAAUCAACAUAUCAUCAACAUACAAGCAAAGGAUAAUGAAGUUACCUUCAGAGAAUUUUCUAAAAUACACACAAGGAUCUGCAGUAGUCCGCUUGUACUCGUUACUACUCAUGAAGGAAUCAAACUUGUGAUACCAUUGCCUUGGUGCUUGCUUGAGUCCAUAGAGACUCUUUUUCAACUUACAAACAAAAUUCUCUUUUCCCUUAACUUCAAAUCCUUUCGGCUGCUCCAUGUAAAUCUCCUCAUGCAAAUCACCAUGUAAGAAAGCAGUUUUAACAUCAAGUUGUUCAAGUUCAAGAUUCAAACAGGCAGCUAGUCCCAAAAUCAUACGAAUGGAAGUCAUCUUCACCACCGGUGCAAAAAUCUCAUCGAAGUCGAUGCCUUUUUUCUUGUUCUUAAACAACCACCUGUUCUUCAAGACUUUCUUCCCUUUUGGAGGCUUCACCAAGUCAUAGGUUUCAUUCUUCUUCAAAGAAUCCAUCUCUUCUUGCAUAGCCUUGAGCCAAUGGUCUUUGUCUGAAUGUGACAAGACCUCUUGAAGGUUUUCAGGCUCCCCCUCAUAAGUGAUUAGGAUGUAUUCUGAACUUGGAUAAAGUCUUGAAGGUUGACGAACUCUGGUCGAUUUUCUAAGUGUUGGCUCUUCUACCUGUGGGCUGGAUUUCUCCCCCUGAUUGGAAGACUCUCCAUGUUGAACAUCUACAACUUCAUCAUCAGGUUGUGGUACAACAACAUCAGGUUGUACCUCUUCAAUAUGGUCAUGUUCAUGAGCAAUUUCAUGACCAUCCUCUGGAGCAUCACCUGUUAAUUGAUCAUCUGAAGCAGAAACAUGAGGCAUGGGCAUAUCAAUAACAUCAUGAGAGAAAUUAGAAUAAUAAGUCUUAUCAGCACCCAAGAGAUGAAAACCCAUCUCGUGCUCAUAAAAGACAACAUCUCUACUUCUCACAACUUUUUGCUUUGCUGGAUCAUAAAGUCUGUAACCAAACUCUUCAUCACCAUAUCCAACAAACACACAAGGAGAAGUCUUGAAAUCAAGCUUCAAUCUAUGUUCCUUCGGCACAUGCAUAAAAGCCUUGCAUCCAAACACCCUCAAGUGAGAAUAAGAGGGGUCUUUCCCAAACCAAACUCUCUCGGGAAUAUCAAACUCCAAAGGAACUGAUGGUGCUCUAUUUAUCAAAUACACAGCAGUUCCAACUGUUUCACCCCAAAAUGACUUAGGAAGAUUGGACAUUCUAAGCAUGCAUCUCACUUUCUUAAUAAUGGUUCUGUUCAUCCUCUCGGCAACGCCAUUGUGUUGUGGGGUACUCGGUUCUGUUCUCUCAUGUCGAAUGCCAUAUCUUGAGCAAUAUGCUUUAAACUCAUUUGAAGUGUAUUCACCUCCAUUAUCAGUUCGAAGACGCUUCAGUUUGCAAUCUGUCUCCCUUUCAACCAUUGCAUGAAACUUCUUGAAGAUACCGAACACCUCACUUUUGUGCUUCAUCAUAUAAACCCAAGUUCUCCGAGUAGCAUCAUCAAUAAAAGUAACAAAGUAUUUGUUACCACCAAGUGAUUCCACCUCUAUGGGACCACACACAUCAGAGUAAACCAACUCUAACUUCACUUUCUUUCUUGUAGAUGUCCUCGGAAAAGAAACUCUAUGUUGCUUUCCUGCUAAACAAUGAUCACAAGGGUCAAGUGAAAUAGUAACAUCAGCAGGAAUAAGAGACUUACCGGCCAACAGCUUUAUACCCUUCUCACUAACAUGCCCCAAUCUUCGGUGCCAUAAGUUAGGAGAUGUUUUCUCCUCAAUAGCAUUCAACUCACCACUACACACUUUCAAAUGUGUCUUAUACAAGGUGCAACAAAGCUUGCCACGAGCAACAGUCAAAGAACCCUUAGACAAUUUCCAUUUACCCUCACCAAAAGUGUGCUUGUAACCCUCUUCAUCAAGUACGUUAGUAGACAAUAAAUUGAGGCGUAAAUCUGGAAUGUGGCGAACAUCUCUCAACGUCAAAUAGCACCCUACAUUGGUUUGGACUCGAAUAUCUCCAAUGCCAACAAUACUUGCUGAGCUCUGGUUCCCCAUCUUCACACUACCAAAAUCUCCAGCUCGGUAGUCAAUAAAGUACUCCUUAUUAGGAACACAAUGAUAGGAAGCUCCUGUAUCAAUAAGCCAUUCAGUGUCAGAACUAUCAACAUGACAACAUUCUCCAGUAGUACAUAUCAAAGAAACACGAUCAUCAGAACUAGAAGUUGUAGCAGCUGUAUUCUUGUCAUCACCCUCUUUAUGAUGGUCAUUUUUCUUAUUUUGCUGGUCUCUUUUCAACUUGUAGCAAAACUUUUGAAUGUGGCCAGGCUUGCUACAAUAGUGGCAUAUCGUAGGUUCUCUCCCAUCCUUGGACUUUGACCUAUACUUUGACUUGCCACGCCCUUUGGGACCUCUACUUUUGCUUCUUCCUCUAUUCUCUACCACAAGUGCCUGCGAAAUAUCAACACCCAUCUCCUUUCUUCUAAGCUCUUCAUUGAACAUGCUCUCUUUGAUGACAUCCAAUGAAAGCGUACCAUCUGGAGCUGAGUUGCUGAUGGACACAACCAAAGUUUCCCAACUGUCUGGCAAAGAACUCAAGAGGAAUAAAGCCUGCAACUCAUCAUCAAGGACAAUUUUCAUAACAGUCAACUUGUUAAUAAUAUCUUGAAAGUCGCUAAGAUGCUCAGAAACAGACUUCCCUGGCUUCAACUUGAGAUUAACAAGCCUCUUAAUCAACGAGGCCUUGUUAUGAGCGGUCUUCCUCUCAUAAAGACCCUCCAAUUUUCUCCAUAGCUCAAGCGGCUCAGUCUCCUGGGAUACAUGAUUGAAUAUGCUAAUAUCAAUCCACUGUAUGAUUGUCCCCAAGGUCUUUCUCUUCAGCUUUUCCCAUUCUUUUUCUGUCAUCUUCUCUGGCUUAGUAGGCUGGUCAUCUUUCUUUGUUUUAUCCACAUCAAUUGGAUCAAACAAAUCCUUGCAAUAUAGCAAAUCUUCCAUCAUCGGACGCCAAAUGGAAUAAUUGGUUGAUGUCAGUUUAACCAUAGAGUUAUUUCCAUGCUCCAUGUCUAUGGUUUAACACUCAGCUCUGAUACCAAUUGUGAGGGGAGGCACAAAACAACACAAGUAGAAUACAACACCUACAAGGAUCGACUUCAAGACAAUCAACCAAAUAUACUUCACCACUUUACCAAAAGAAAUUCACCACUAUAUUAAUCAAGCUAAAAUCAGCAACACAUCAAUUGAAUCACAAGCAAAUAUGAAUUAUAAUACGCAAGUGACACACAAGAUUUAUACGUGGAAAACCCCUUCGGUAUGAAGGAUAAAAACCACGGGACUUGAAGGAGUCCACCCUUCUUCUCUUAUUAUGAAAAUUGAGGGUAAAAACACCCAAGUCAGUCUACAAGGAUGUCACAGCCCACCAACAACAACAUACAGAAGAGCCAACACAAAAGAGAAGAGAAAUUGAGAAAUAUCACCAAAAAAAAUGCAGGUUACGCCAGCUGCGAUAACAGACGAUCAAGAACUCCG
This 5133-nucleotide long non-coding RNA is filed under the name Solanum lycopersicum (tomato). RNAcentral describes it as "long non-coding RNA (SLYC_LNC001064)". The record is from RNAcentral. Lineage: Eukaryota; Viridiplantae; Streptophyta; Magnoliopsida; Solanales; Solanaceae.